UUGUUCUGCAGUCUUAUGUUACGGUUUUCAUCCACUAUGCUAGCACCUUUCAAUAAAUAUUGCAACUGUGAGAGGCUGUGGGGUCUGGGUUUUGGGUUAGGGUCCAAGUUCUCUCCCACAAGAUGUUUGUAGCUUUUCCCCAUCUGCUCACUGUGCUUAUUUUCUCCAAGGAUCUUCCACUUUUUGGAAUCAUUCUUCAUUGUUGGGUUUUUGUAUUGACCACAGGGAACACUCAGAAGCACAUGUGAGACUGAUGAUUAUCUUGCACAGCAGUUGUGGCCUUAUUCCUCCAGUCCUCCCCUUCUCUGCUGUCACUUUCUGUUCUCCACCUCCCCACAAACAUUUCCUGUAUGUAUGUAUCAUCAUUUUUAUUUUUGUGGGUGUGUAUGUAAGCAAUUGCAAAAAUGUAGUUGACAUUUUGGCCUCAAUGUGGGUUGGUUUGUGGCCACUUCUAUUUACUCCUGCUGAAGAGAUGUGAGGAAGUAGCUGAGAAAAUUUUGUUUUUUGUUUUCACAUGUUAAAUGCUUAAGUUUAGUGGGUUUGGAACUUCUAAGGAGUAGAACUCUUACAAAUAAACCUCACAGAGAGGAAGGAGAGAUGUUCUUUAUGAAAUCGAGAUGGAGUUAAUGAAGGCCUUUGAAGAUUAAGAUGAAAGACAUGAGUACAAGAACCACCCAACAAAAAAGCUUCAUUUCCUCUGGGUACGUGUUAGAAGGCUCAUCCAAGUCACUGGGAGUUGCCUUAAAGUUUCAUAGCGAUAACAAUCCCAUUUGUAAUGAAAAAAAAAAUCUAACCCUGUACUAGUCAUUAUUAUGGAUGCUCUCUAGGAAACCAGACUAAAAAUAUCAGCAGAUAACAUUAGAGCACUACAAGAUAAAAUCUCAAUUCAAAACACAUUAAAAUGAAAGUUGAUUUUCAUCAGUCCCACUUGGUAUCUGGGGCUAAUUUUGUAUCACUGAGAUGUUCUUGCUGAUUUAUCUGUGGAGUGGCAAGAGUCACGGACAGCACAGGAAGAGUAACAUACAAGUACCUGAAGAACAGUGCUACUCUGAACUGUACCAUUUGGUGUACUAAGUACAACAGCAGAAUCCAGAAAACAGGAUCCAGUCACCAUAACAUCUUGCUGGCAGCCAGAUCUGUGUUUUGCUGAUGAACUCAAGGCAAGCUGCUUCACUGAAGACUAUUUCCUAAGGGCUUCAGCUGAUUAGCUUUAGGUUCUUAUCUCUUCUGCCACGCAAAAUAUGUACAUGAGAAACCUAAUUUCUGCACGUUAGCAGCAAAAAGAUUAAAAGAAUAAAUGCCUUUCAUUCAGCUGUUCUCUACAAGCAGAAGACCUGCAUACUGAUGAAUGAGUACAGUUUGGAAUAUCAGAGAAGAAUGUCAACAGAGUACACACACCUUCCUUCAACAAAAUUGAAGACCUUCUUGCUGCUGUGUCUUUCUUGGUGCACAUGCUGCAGGAUGUCUUCUCUCUCAGUUAAUACUGUUAUACAUGUCCAGUAACAGGUUGCUGCUCUUAUUACUGCUGCUGUGUCUAGCAACCCAAGUAAUGAGUGAGGUUGUAUCACGGUAGGCACUUCAUACAGACAGGAAGUUGUCUGCCUCAGAAAGCUUACACUCUGUAUGAACCAAACUGGCUAAUGAGGAUGAGAGGGUAAACGAUACACAAGGAACUGAAGACCUGUAAGAAAGGCUGGAGGAAGCUGGCUCUUCUUGCAUGGUCAUGACCCCAAUGGACAGAUCUCCUCUCUACUGAUUCAACCUGUACUUUGUGGUCAAAUGGUGAAUUCAGGCAGGGGCCCAUCACUUCCAAAGGGCAUCUGGAGCUCACAGUGCAAAAGAGCUCAAAUCUCUCAGUUUGCCAGGCCUCCUCCCCACCAGCCACUGCUGUUGGCCAGCGCGGGGAUUCAGCGGUGGUGGGGAGCUCCCCAUGGUUUGUGGACCUCAGCUCUGGCUACAAGAACAAAUAGAAGCUGGCACGUUUGUGUAUACCCCUCUUGCUUGUAUCUGAUCUGUCUGACUUUGCUUUCUUAUCAGCUGAGUAAUAAAAUUAAUAGGAUAAUUGAUUUUUCUUUUAAUAAAGAAUGCAAAU
Columba livia (rock pigeon) is the source of this 2092-nucleotide long non-coding RNA. RefSeq lists it as uncharacterized. The transcript is spliced from 3 exons. NCBI's taxonomy places the organism in Eukaryota, Metazoa, Chordata, Aves, Columbiformes, Columbidae. The record is from RefSeq and is a predicted model, not a curated record.